This is a non-coding RNA of Pelobates cultripes (western spadefoot toad), 280 nucleotides long. The record is from the annotation of a GenBank genome assembly. NCBI's taxonomy places the organism in Eukaryota, Metazoa, Chordata, Amphibia, Anura, Pelobatidae.
ACUAAUUAUAGCAGACAUGUUUUCAGGAUGGCCAGAGGCCUAUCCAGCCACCAAAGUGAUAACCAAGACCACAUGCUGAGUAGUGCACCGUGAAAGUUACAGAGAUCACCCCGUGGAUUCAUCAUUCCAGAAUCAAGCCUGCCUCUGCAUCAUGUGAAGUAGCAUUUGUUGAUCUUGACAACCCUUUUUGAAACUCCAUUCUUAGAGAACAAAGAUACUUGUUGAAAAAAUAAAUAAAUAUCAACAAGUGGGUGUUUUGAUGGCCAUAAUAAUGCCUGAC